UACGUAGGGGGCGAGCGUUAUCCGGAAUUACUGGGCGUAAAGCGCACGCAGGCGGUUCGCCAAGUUUGGAGUGACAGUUGUCGGCUCAACCGACAAAGGACUUCAAAAACUGGUGAACUUGAGGACGAGAGAGGAACAUGGAACUCCAGGUGUAGUAGUGAAAUGCGUAGAUAUCUGGAAGAACACCAAUGGCGAAGGCAAUGUUUCUGGCUCGUUUCUGACGCUCAGGUGCGAAAGCCAGGGGAGCGAACGGG
Molecule: ribosomal RNA, 254 nt
Filed under: uncultured bacterium
Lineage: Bacteria
Description: partial 16S ribosomal RNA
Rfam family: Bacterial small subunit ribosomal RNA
Source: RNAcentral